RNAcentral lists this ribosomal RNA (780 nucleotides) under Pseudomonas sp. MY-CA66. RNAcentral's name for it is "bacterial SSU rRNA". It matches the Rfam family "Bacterial small subunit ribosomal RNA", at positions 104 to 880 of the family's 1533-position model. The record is from RNAcentral. Lineage: Bacteria; Pseudomonadati; Pseudomonadota; Gammaproteobacteria; Pseudomonadales; Pseudomonadaceae.
GGGUGAGUAAUGCCUAGGAAUCUGCCUGGUAGUGGGGGACAACGUUUCGAAAGGAACGCUAAUACCGCAUACGUCCUACGGGAGAAAGCAGGGGACCUUCGGGCCUUGCGCUAUCAGAUGAGCCUAGGUCGGAUUAGCUUGUUGGUGAGGUAAUGGCUCACCAAGGCGACGAUCCGUAACUGGUCUGAGAGGAUGAUCAGUCACACUGGAACUGAGACACGGUCCAGACUCCUACGGGAGGCAGCAGUGGGGAAUAUUGGACAAUGGGCGAAAGCCUGAUCCAGCCAUGCCGCGUGUGUGAAGAAGGUCUUCGGAUUGUAAAGCACUUUAAGUUGGGAGGAAGGGUUGUAGAUUAAUACUCUGCAAUUUUGACGUUACCGACAGAAUAAGCACCGGCUAACUCUGUGCCAGCAGCCGCGGUAAUACAGAGGGUGCAAGCGUUAAUCGGAAUUACUGGGCGUAAAGCGCGCGUAGGUGGUUUGUUAAGUUGGAUGUGAAAGCCCCGGGCUCAACCUGGGAACUGCAUCCAAAACUGGCAAGCUAGAGUACGGUAGAGGGUGGUGGAAUUUCCUGUGUAGCGGUGAAAUGCGUAGAUAUAGGAAGGAACACCAGUGGCGAAGGCGACCACCUGGACUGAUACUGACACUGAGGUGCGAAAGCGUGGGGAGCAAACAGGAUUAGAUACCCUGGUAGUCCACGCCGUAAACGAUGUCAACUAGCCGUUGGAAUCCUUGAGAUUUUAGUGGCGCAGCUAACGCAUUAAGUUGACCGCCUGGGGAG